UUAGCUAGCAGACAAACAGUUUUGCUUCAUCGAGAAGAAAGAGAGAAAGAGAUUGGCCAGUGGCCCAGCCCCCAAUCCCCAUCCCCCGAUUUCUCUCCCUCUCCCUUUCCCUCGUCUCUCGCCGCCGCCACCACCGGUGCCCUCCCCCCGCCGCCGCCACCACUGCCGCCUAGGCGUGGCGCUGCUCUUCCCCACCCGGAGACCUGUGGCCUUUGCCGUGGCUCGCCGCGCGGCUCAGCAGCGUCGUGCGCCGUGCUCAGGAGUGCUGCAACACCGUGUACGGCAUCCUCGACGGCGUCGUCCAGGAGCACUUGGAGAGGAUGCACGGCGGCGGAGGCCAUGACGAGGACCUGGGAUCGUGGUGAUUUCGAGCAGGGCGGCGGGUGUCUAAGAAAUGAGAGGCGGGUGGUCAGGCCCGGGGAGUUGCAGGCUUACCUCGCAGAGCCGGAAAUAUGUCGUGAGGGAGAUCCAGCCAGCGCCGGACAAACCAAGGGAUUUCCCCUGGAUUCGGCGGGGUCCAAGUGUGAUCUGAAACUACCAGCGGCUGGGCUACGAGGCUAGUGAUUAUAUAGCUGGGUGCGGGGAAAAGGAUGGAAUCGACGUGCUGAAGUAGGCCCUGGCUCGGGGAGGCGACCUCCAUCGCCGCCACGUGAGGAGCAGGGGUGGAGGUUGCUCUCGGGGACGAGAGGAGCACAACAGGGGAUUGUUCAGAGGGUAGGCCAAGGGACAGCCGAAUCGAGUCAAGGUCGUCAGGGUGUGAAUCCCGCGUUCAUCCUAUAAAACACGGAGCGGCAGGGGCUCUACCCGCACCCAGACGUCGACCUCAAGAAGCUGCGCCGGCUCAUCCUCGAGGUCGAACGACCCCAGGCCCGACCUCAAUGAGUGCCCAAUCUGCUUCCCGUUCUAUCCGAGCCACAGUUGACAAGUGCUGCGCCAACUGGUUCUUGUGGAUCGUGUUGGUCGUUCUGGGGCAUUAGAGUGGGCCAACUACCUGACGACGGGCAAUAUCGAGGUGUUGUUGGUGUAGUGAUUGCUCGGCCGUGAUCAUGAGACCUUUUCCUAUUUUAUUAUUGAUAGUGUGACGAGAAGUCAGAGCGACAAAUCUGAAGCGACUCCUCCCUGGUUGGAGGGUCCAUGCUGGAAUCAUUUGAGAUCGUCGCAUGAGUUUCUUCUGAAACUUUAAGGUCUGGGAUGGUGGAUGUAUUGAGCUUGAGGAGAAGAUCAGCCACUCCAUCCACGAUGACGCACUCAACCCUAGGUAUCUGCAAAACAUCUUAGUUUCUAUGUAUUCCUGGGUCAGCUAGCUAUUAGUUUUAAGUCACAACCUACAAAUUUCAGAAAUUCGUUGGAUAAAUAUUUGAAUAUGAUUUUUUUUCUAAGAAAAGAGGCAUACAAUUUGGAAAAUAGAACCUUCAGCAUGGGUCUGGAGGUAGCAGCAACCCAAUCAAGCUAUACAAGCACCUGAGAUCACUCUGUGUGCCAUGUCGCCGGUUGCAUUUUCUUUGUGUUAUUUCAUUCCAUCAUAAGAAAGGUUAGUUUGAAAUAUGUGGCCAUUGGGAGUUCAGAAAUGUGGCAGAUUUUUUCUUUAGAUUAUGCGCUUUGCAUGGUCAUCUAUCUGUUGUGAUGUCUGCAUUCUAUAAAAUCAUAUUUUGAUGAUGUGAUUACUUCAGAUACUUGGUGCUGGUGACUAAUCGCAUUUCGUAUCUAUUGGUGUCUGAUCAUCUGAUUUUCUAAGUCUUCCCGUUGCUUACCCAAAAAGUCAUACGAAGAGUAGUCAGAUUUAGUGUGGCAGUUCUUAUGCAACAUUUCUGUAAAUAUGCUGGCAGCUCGAAUGCACUGAUACGGAUACGGGUAUCAGUAUCGGGCCAAUACGGAUACGUAAAUUCGUCAUUUUCAAAAAGUGCCAAUACGGAUACGUUGCAGGUACUUAAAGCAAUCUGGAGGAGAUGAGGAUGACAGAUCUUCAGAGAUCAGAGAAGAAAGGAGAGGAGAUGAGCUUGGCUGGGCAGGAGAAAUGGAGAAGAGAAGUGUCCAUACUUGGCUGUUGCGUGAGAGGGGACGUUGGUGAGUAGGAGGAGGAGCUCGUCGCCGGCUAGCCUCCACCGCUGCUGGCCCUGGGACCUGGGUGAGCAGCCGCUGGCGACACAGCCGCCACCUGGUGUGAGCAUGGGAGGGAGGAAAAACGUUGUGAGGGAAAGGAUGGGGGCAUCGGGGUACUAGAGUUGCUGGUUGCUUCUUAACUAGGCUGAGCGGGCUCUUACUUGGGCUGGAAAAGUAUCCAAAACGUACUGGCGAAGUAUCCUUAGAGUAUUGUAAUUGUUUUAAAUCAUUUAUUCUCGGAUACUCCAAUGAUACGUAUCGGGGGCGUAUCGGUAUCGGAUAUGGUAUCCGAUACAUAUUCGCUGGUCGGUUGAAGUAUCCGUGCAUUUGAGACUGGCAGAGUUCCUUCCAUGGCUCCCAGCUUCUGUUUCAUCUGACGAGCAUCAAGAUAUAUAUUUUUUACCGUGGAGUAUCGAUCGAGAUGUCCAUAACUGCUUAUGUAAAAUAGUUCCUGAAGAGAAACUUCUUAAGCAGGUCUCACAAUUGUGCUUCUUUACAGUUUCUAGCACUAACUUGCUUAGUGUCCUGUUAACUUGCUUGGAUCUAAUAUACAGGCGCAAAGUUGUGUUCUCCCACGAGGUGUCUCAGGGCUUUGCCAGCUGCUACUGCUAUGGAUAUCAUCUGCUGCACGAUUGCUAGCUUUCCUAUGUUUGAGUUGUUUCUGCCAUCUACUGGUUCGGAAUAAUUUUUUUAUGUAACACUUGCUUGGAUACGGUUCAUACUUUCUAACUUAGCAAAGCUAAUAUGUUUUUGCAUUAUGGCAACUUCUCUUUCAUAAAGGAAGGCCAACUUAUUCAUGUUUGAUAUGCAUUCAUACAUAAAAGGCACCGGACCCAUGAGCUUUACUGCCAUUGAUAAAUGACGCCAUGUAGCGAGAUGUUCACACAAGCAGACCAAACACAAGCUUGCAAAAAAGAACAGAGAAGGGGUGCACACAACCUGGCACCGCCCAUUGCACCUCUCAGGCUUACUUGGCACUUUAUCUUGCACUGUUCUAUAUUAGACAGUUCAGAUUAUUUUUUCAGGCAGUGUACAUAUGUGUAUUAUACUGUACUUACUGCUUAUCAUCGUCUAUAUGACCAUGACAUACUUUUGUGCAGGAUCGGAUAGAUGGGAGGUGGAUCUGAAUAUAUUCCAGACAGAGGAAUUAUUUAGAGACUAAAGGUAAUAUGUCUGAUAAAGCAUAACUGCACCUUUUCUGCUAUCUUCUGUAGUAUAUUUUGUUACAAAGAUUAAAAACAUAAUAUUGGUAGAAAUGAUUUCCAUUUGUUCGCCAUGAACCUUGCAGUUGGCUUGCUUCUGCACUAGGGGAAUGCUUGCAUUAGAUCAUCAAAGUUAAUUACUAUUAUAUCACUAUCUACAUGUUAAAUGUGUCUAUAGUGAUUGAACAACUCUCAUUAAUAGAUGUAGCCAUCGAACAGAAGGCGUUUUUUUUUAACUCAGUUAUAAUGAUGGCUUUUAUAGUGGCAGCGCUCGACGAGAUCCUCCCCAACCUGACCCCUCAUUCUUCCUUGUCUAUAUGAUGCAGGUGCUCCUCGCCUCUUCGCCCCCGCCCCCCUCGAAAGGUCACAAGCUGCCAUCUUUAAUAUAUUUUGUCAGUAGGUUGAGAUCACCUCUGUAUGAGUGUAUGAUCUGAGACUUAACUAUGUACUGUUGAUUUAUGGCAUGAUGAUUGCUGAUUGAUUUCGAUUGCAUGGGAAUUCUGGGGAGAGCAAGGGAAAAGCUAUGGGGAACUUGUGUAUUACUGGCGCCAGCAGUUGAUGGAAUGGGGUUUGCUACCGCUUGAUGUGGCUACAGAGGUCUUUGCGAAGAAACAGGGUCUGAAACUGAGGUCACCGGUCAAAACGCCUUCCACGCAGAGAAGGGCAAGUUCUCUAACCAAGAAGAUACUGCUGUUAGGCGAUAAGAAAACCAACUCAGGUACAAAGGGAAAAACCACAGCGCAAAAGAAGAGAGCAUCUAGCGACAUAGAUGACGACGAGGACGACGACUUUGUCAAAACCAACUCAGCCACAAAGGGAAAAACCACGACACAAAAGAGAAAGAAGGCAUCUAGCAACACAGACGACGACGACGACGACGGUGACUUUGUCAUGCCUAAGAAGCCCAAGAAGCAAUAGAUUUCUUAGCUAAGUAUCUGAUCCUUAAACAAGGCAUGUGUCCUUUGUGUUACCAUUGACAUUGUGCUAGGUCAGUAUAACCUUAGGAACCGAUGAGACUUUUAUUUCUUCUUCUUCUGUGUACUGACGCUGUGAUGGGUAUGAACUUCUGGAACAAAACUAUUUAGGUGUGAAGCGAUGCAAUGAUUCCAUGUCUUCCA
This is a long non-coding RNA of Triticum aestivum (bread wheat), 4420 nucleotides long. RefSeq lists it as uncharacterized. The record is from RefSeq and is a predicted model, not a curated record. NCBI's taxonomy places the organism in Eukaryota, Viridiplantae, Streptophyta, Magnoliopsida, Poales, Poaceae. The transcript is spliced from 9 exons.